This 73-nucleotide transfer RNA is filed under the name Paramuricea clavata. It matches the Rfam family "tRNA". From Rfam's summary of the family: Transfer RNA (tRNA) molecules are approximately 80 nucleotides in length. Their secondary structure includes four short double-helical elements and three loops (D, anti-codon, and T loops). The record is from Rfam by way of RNAcentral. Lineage: Eukaryota; Metazoa; Cnidaria; Anthozoa; Malacalcyonacea; Plexauridae.
GACCGCGUAGCUCAGUUGGCAGAGCAUUGUGUUAGUAUUACAAAGGUUGUAGGUUCGAUUCCCAUCGUGGUCA